RNAcentral lists this ribosomal RNA (254 nucleotides) under uncultured bacterium. RNAcentral describes it as "partial 16S ribosomal RNA". It matches the Rfam family "Bacterial small subunit ribosomal RNA", at positions 524 to 776 of the family's 1533-position model. The record is from RNAcentral.
UACGAAGGGGGCUAGCGUUGUUCGGAAUUACUGGGCGUAAAGCGCGCGCAGGCGGCUAUCCAAGUCAGUGGUGAAAGCCCGGAGCUCAACUCCGGAACUGCCAUUGAAACUGUUUAGCUUGAGGAUGAGAGAGGUGAGUGGAAUUCCCAGUGUAGAGGUGAAAUUCGUAGAUAUUGGGAAAGAACACCGGUGGCGAAGGCGGCCUGCUGGGCUAUGGCUGACACUGAGGCGCGACAGCGUGGGGAGCAAACAGG